This 301-nucleotide ribosomal RNA is filed under the name uncultured bacterium. Its description in RNAcentral is "partial 16S ribosomal RNA". It matches the Rfam family "Bacterial small subunit ribosomal RNA", at positions 509 to 808 of the family's 1533-position model. The record is from RNAcentral.
CAGUCGCCACGGUAAUACAGAGGGUGCAAGCGUUAAUCGGAAUUACUGGGCGUAAAGCGCGCGUAGGUGGUUUGUUAAGUUGGAUGUGAAAUCCCCGGGCUCAACCUGGGAACUGCAUCCAAAACUGGCAAGCUAGAGUAUGGUAGAGGGUGGUGGAAUUUCCUGUGUAGCGGUGAAAUGCGUAGAUAUAGGAAGGAACACCAGUGGCGAAGGCGACCACCUGGACUGAUACUGACACUGAGGUGCGAAAGCGUGGGGAGCAAACAGGAUUAGAUACCCUGUAGUCCCUGUCUCUUAUACA